Molecule: ribosomal RNA, 702 nt
Filed under: Pasteurella multocida
Lineage: Bacteria; Pseudomonadati; Pseudomonadota; Gammaproteobacteria; Pasteurellales; Pasteurellaceae
Description: partial 23S ribosomal RNA
Rfam family: Bacterial large subunit ribosomal RNA
Source: RNAcentral
GAAAGACCCCGUGAACCUUUACUAUAGCUUGACACUGAACAUUGAAUUUUGAUGUGUAGGAUAGGUGGGAGCCUUUGAAGCAGUGACGCCAGUCAUUGUGGAGGCGACCUUGAAAUACCACCCUUUAACGUUUGAUGUUCUAACGAAGUGCCUGAAACGGGUACUCGGACAGUGUCUGGUGGGUAGUUUGACUGGGGCGGUCUCCUCCCAAAGCGUAACGGAGGAGCACGAAGGUUUGCUAAUGACGGUCGGACAUCGUCAGGUUAGUGCAAUGGUAUAAGCAAGCUUAACUGCGAGACAGACAAGUCGAGCAGGUGCGAAAGCAGGUCAUAGUGAUCCGGUGGUUCUGAAUGGAAGGGCCAUCGCUCAACGGAUAAAAGGUACUCCGGGGAUAACAGGCUGAUACCGCCCAAGAGUUCAUAUCGACGGCGGUGUUUGGCACCUCGAUGUCGGCUCAUCACAUCCUGGGGCUGAAGUAGGUCCCAAGGGUAUGGCUGUUCGCCAUUUAAAGUGGUACGCGAGCUGGGUUUAGAACGUCGUGAGACAGUUCGGUCCCUAUCUGCCGUGGGCGUUGGAUGAUUGAUUGGGGCUGCUCCUAGUACGAGAGGACCGGAGUGGACGCAUCACUGGUGUUCCAGUUGUCUCGCCAGAGGCAUUGCUGGGUAGCUAAAUGCGGAAGAGAUAAGUGCUGAAAGCAUCUAA